RNAcentral lists this ribosomal RNA (97 nucleotides) under uncultured bacterium. RNAcentral describes it as "partial 16S ribosomal RNA". It matches the Rfam family "Bacterial small subunit ribosomal RNA", at positions 1388 to 1482 of the family's 1533-position model. The record is from RNAcentral.
CACCGCCCGUCACAUCACGAAAGUGGAUUGUACUAGAAGUCCGCGCGCCAACCCGCAAGGGAGGUAGCGGCCCAAGGUAUGAUUCAUGAUUAGGGUG